UGGGGAAUAUUGGACAAUGGGCGAAAGCCUGAUCCAGCCAUGCCGCGUGUGUGAAGAAGGUCUUCGGAUUGUAAAGCACUUUAAGUUGGGAGGAAGGGCGUUAACCUAAUACGUUAGUGUUUUGACGUUACCGACAGAAUAAGCACCGGCUAACUCUGUGCCAGCAGCCGCGGUAAUACAGAGGGUGCAAGCGUUAAUCGGAAUUACUGGGCGUAAAGCGCGCGUAGGUGGUUUGUUAAGUUGGAUGUGAAAUCCCCGGGCUCAACCUGGGAACUGCAUUCAAAACUGACUGACUAGAGUAUGGUAGAGGGUGGUGGAAUUUCCUGUGUAGCGGUGAAAUGCGUAGAUAUAGGAAGGAACACCAGUGGCGAAGGCGACCACCUGGACUAAUACUGACACUGAGGUGCGAAAGCGUGGGGAGCAAACA
RNAcentral lists this ribosomal RNA (427 nucleotides) under uncultured bacterium. RNAcentral's name for it is "partial 16S ribosomal RNA". It matches the Rfam family "Bacterial small subunit ribosomal RNA", at positions 355 to 774 of the family's 1533-position model. The record is from RNAcentral.